This 450-nucleotide ribosomal RNA is filed under the name uncultured bacterium. RNAcentral's name for it is "SSU rRNA". It matches the Rfam family "Bacterial small subunit ribosomal RNA", at positions 26 to 518 of the family's 1533-position model. The record is from RNAcentral.
AGGAUGAACGCUGGCGGUCUGCUUAACACAUGCAAGUCGAACGGAGUAGCAAUACUUAGUGGCGGACGGGUGAGUAACGCGUGAGAAUCUACCUUCAGGACGGAGACAACAGUUGGAAACGACUGCUAACCCCCGAUGUACCGAAAGGGCAAAUAUUUAUAGCCUGAAGAAGAGCUCGCGUCCGAUUAGCUAGUUGGAGAGGUAAAAGCUCACCAAGGCGACGAUCGGUAGCUGGUCUGAGAGGACGAUCAGCCACACUGGGACUGAGACACGGCCCAGACUCCUACGGGAGGCAGCAGUGGGGAAUUUUCCGCAAUGGGCGAAAGCCUGACGGAGCAAGACCGCGUGGGGGAAGAAGGCUCUUGGGGUUGUAAACCCCCUUUUCUCUGGGAAGAACACAAUGACGGUACCAGAGGAAUCAGCAUCGGCUAACUCCGUGCCAGCAGCCGC